GGGGAAUCUUGCGCAAUGGCCGAAAGGCUGACGCAGCGACGCCGCGUGGGGGAUGAAGCAUUUCGGUGUGUAAACCCCUGUUGCUCGGGACGAACAACCCUUUUCGAGGGGUCUGACGGUACCGGGUGAGGAAGCACCGGCUAACUCCGUGCCAGCAGCCGCGGUAAUACGGAGGGUGCGAGCGUUGUCCGGAAUCACUGGGCGUAAAGGGCGCGUAGGCGGUGACUUAAGCGUGUGGUGAAAGCCCGGGGCUCAACCCCGGGUCGGCCAUGCGAACUGGGUCACUCGAGCACUGUAGAGGCAGGUGGAAUUCCGGGUGUAGCGGUGGAAUGCGUAGAGAUCCGGAAGAACACCGGUGGCGAAGGCGGCCUGCUGGGCAGUAGCUGACGCUGAGGCGCGACAGCGUGGGGAGCAA
This 415-nucleotide ribosomal RNA is filed under the name uncultured bacterium. RNAcentral's name for it is "bacterial SSU rRNA". It matches the Rfam family "Bacterial small subunit ribosomal RNA", at positions 356 to 771 of the family's 1533-position model. The record is from RNAcentral.